GAUGAACGCUAGCGGCAGGCUUAACACAUGCAAGUCGAGGGGUAACAGAGAGUGCUUGCACUUUGCUGACGACCGGCGCACGGGUGCGUAACGCGUAUACAAUCUACCUCUUACUGAGGGAUAGCCCAGAGAAAUUUGGAUUAAUACCUCAUAGUAUGUUAGAGUGGCAUCACUUUAAUAUUAAAGGUUACGGUAAGAGAUGAGUAUGCGUUCUAUUAGCUAGUAGGUAUGGUAAUGGCAUACCUAGGCGACGAUAGAUAGGGGCCCUGAGAGGGGGAUCCCCCACACUGGUACUGAGACACGGACCAGACUCCUACGGGAGGCAGCAGUGAGGAAUAUUGGUCAAUGGGCGCAAGCCUGAACCAGCCAUGCCGCGUGCAGGAAGACUGCCCUAUGGGUUGUAAACUGCUUUUAUACAGGAAGAAACACUCCCUCGUGAGGGAGCUUGACGGUACUGUAAGAAUAAGGAUCGGCUAACUCCGUGCCAGCCGCCGCCGUAACAC
RNAcentral lists this ribosomal RNA (503 nucleotides) under uncultured bacterium. Its description in RNAcentral is "bacterial SSU rRNA". It matches the Rfam family "Bacterial small subunit ribosomal RNA", at positions 28 to 526 of the family's 1533-position model. The record is from RNAcentral.